ACUACGGGGGGCAGCAGUGAGGAAUAUUGGUCAAUGGGCGGAAGCCUGAACCAGCCAAGUAGCGUGCAGGAUGACGGCCCUACGGGUUGUAAACUGCUUUUAUACGGGAAUAACGCGCCUUACGUGUAGGGCUUUGCAUGUACCGUAUGAAUAAGGACCGGCUAAUUCCGUGCCAGCAGCCGCGGUAAUACGGAAGGUCCGGGCGUUAUCCGGAUUUAUUGGGUUUAAAGGGAGCGUAGGCCGCAUGUCAAGCGUGCUGUGAAAUGUCCGGGCUCAACCCGGGCCUUGCAGCGCGAACUGGCGUGCUUGAGUCCGCGGAAAGCAGGCGGAAUUCGUCGUGUAGCGGUGAAAUGCUUAGAUAUGACGAAGAACCCCGAUUGCGAAGGCAGCUUGCUGCAGCGGAACUGACGCUGAUGCUCGAAAGCGCGGGUAUCGAACAGGAUUAGAUACCCUAGUAGUC
Molecule: ribosomal RNA, 460 nt
Filed under: uncultured bacterium
Lineage: Bacteria
Description: partial 16S ribosomal RNA
Rfam family: Bacterial small subunit ribosomal RNA
Source: RNAcentral